GAUAGUGUGGCCGAGUAGUCUAUGGCGCUGGUUUUAGUCUCUUCGGAGGCAAGGGUUCGAAUCACUUCACUGUCA
RNAcentral lists this transfer RNA (75 nucleotides) under Daphnia pulex (common water flea). It matches the Rfam family "tRNA". From Rfam's summary of the family: Transfer RNA (tRNA) molecules are approximately 80 nucleotides in length. Their secondary structure includes four short double-helical elements and three loops (D, anti-codon, and T loops). Lineage: Eukaryota; Metazoa; Arthropoda; Branchiopoda; Diplostraca; Daphniidae. The record is from Rfam by way of RNAcentral.